This 940-nucleotide ribosomal RNA is filed under the name Trechus quadristriatus. RNAcentral's name for it is "SSU rRNA". It matches the Rfam family "Eukaryotic small subunit ribosomal RNA", at positions 52 to 863 of the family's 1831-position model. Lineage: Eukaryota; Metazoa; Arthropoda; Insecta; Coleoptera; Carabidae. The record is from RNAcentral.
UGCAUGUCUCAGUACAAGCCAUAUUAAGGUGAAACCGCGAAAGGCUCAUUAAAUCAGUUAUGGUUCCUUAGAUCGUACCCACAUUUACUUGGAUAACUGUGGUAAUUCUAGAGCUAAUACAUGCAAACAGAGCUCCGACCGGAGACGGAAGGAGUGCUUUUAUUAGAUCAAAACCAAUCGGCGGCAAUUGGGUUUACUUAAUUGUUCGUCGCACUUUUUGGUGACUCUGAAUAACUUUUGGCUGAUCGCACGGUCUCGCACCGGCGACGCAUCUUUCAAAUGUCUGCCUUAUCAACUGUCGAUGGUAGGUUCUGCGCCUACCAUGGUUGUAACGGGUAACGGGGAAUUAGGGUUCGAUUCCGGAGAGGGAGCCUGAGAAACGGCUACCACAUCCAAGGAAGGCAGCAGGCGCGCAAAUUACCCACUCCCGGCACGGGGAGGUAGUGACGAAAAAUAACGAUACGGGACUCAUCCGAGGCCCCGUAAUCGGAAUGAGUACACUUUAAAUCCUUUAACAAGGACCAAUUGGAGGGUAAGUCUGGUGCCAGCAGCCGCGGUAAUUCCAGCUCCAAUAGCGUAUAUUAAAGUUGUUGCGGUUAAAAAGCUCGUAGUUGAAUUUGUGUCCCGCGCUGUCGGUUCACCGCCCGCGGUGUUUAACUGGCACGUCUCGCGGGACGUCCUGCCGGUGGAUGUGUGCUCUUUGUAUUCUCUCCCUUUAUAUUGUGCUUGCACUUUAUAUUGUGUGGGGUUUCUUAGUAUCACCAUCCGACUAACUAAUCCUGUCGCGGUGCUCUUAAUUGAGUGUCGAGGCGGGCCGGCACGUUUACUUUGAACAAAUUAGAGUGCUCAAAGCAGGCUAAAAUUUCGCCUGAAUAUUGUGUGCAUGGAAUAAUGGAACAGGACCUCGGUUCUAUUUUGUUGGUUUUCGGAACCCCGAGGU